UACGUAGGGGGCAAGCGUUAUCCGGAAUUAUUGGGCGUAAAGAGUGCGUAGGUGGUUUUGUAAGCGCGGGGUGAAAGGCUAUGGCUCAACCAUAGUAAGCCUUGCGAACUGUGAGACUUGAGUGCAGGAGAGGAGAGUGGAAUUCCUAGUGUAGCGGUGAAAUGCGUAGAUAUUAGGAGGAACACCAGUAGCGAAGGCGGCUCCCUGGACUGUAACUGACGCUGAGGCACGAAAGCGUGGGUAGCGAACAGGAUUAGAUACCCCGGUAGU
This 270-nucleotide ribosomal RNA is filed under the name uncultured prokaryote. RNAcentral's name for it is "partial 16S ribosomal RNA". It matches the Rfam family "Bacterial small subunit ribosomal RNA", at positions 524 to 794 of the family's 1533-position model. The record is from RNAcentral.